AACCAACAGGGAUUGCCCUAGUAACGGCGAGUGAAGCGGCAACAGCUCAAAUUUGAAAUCUGGCCCCCGGGUCCGAGUUGUAAUUUGUAGAGGAUGCUUUUGGCGAGGUGCCUUCCGAGUUCCCUGGAACGGGACGCCAUAGAGGGUGAGAGCCCCGUCUGGUCGGACACCGAGCCUCUGUAAAGCUCCUUCGACGAGUCGAGUAGUUUGGGAAUGCUGCUCAAAAUGGGAGGUAUAUGUCUUCUAAAGCUAAAUAUUGGCCAGAGACCGAUAGCGCACAAGUAGAGUGAUCGAAAGAUGAAAAGCACUUUGAAAAGAGGGUUAAAAAGUACGUGAAAUUGUUGAAAGGGAAGCGCCUAUGACCAGACUUGGGCCCGGUGAAUCACCCAGCGUUCUCGCUGGUGCACUUCGCCGGGCACAGGCCAGCAUCAGUUUGGCGCGGGGGAGAAAGGCUUCGGGAAUGUGCCUCCCCUGGGAGUGUUAUAGCACGUUGCGCAAUACCCUGCGCUGGACUGAGGUACGCGCAUUCGCAAGGAUGCUGGCGUAAUGGUCAUCAGCGACCCGUCUUGAAACACGGACCAAGGAGUCGUCUUCGUAUGCGAGUGUUCGGGUGUCAAACCCCUACGCGUAAUGAAAGUGAACGCAGGUGAGAGCUUCGGCGCAUCAUCGACCGAUCCUGAUGUUCUCGGAUGGAUUUGAGUAAGAGCAUACGGGGCCGGACCCGAAAGAAGGUGAACUAUGCCUGUAUAGGGUGAAGCCAGAGGAAACUCUGGUGGAGGCUCGCAGCGGUUCUGACGUGCGAAUCGAUCGUCAAAUAUGGGCAUGGGGGCGAAAGACUAAUCGAAC
RNAcentral lists this ribosomal RNA (846 nucleotides) under Cordyceps militaris. RNAcentral's name for it is "partial 28S ribosomal RNA". It matches the Rfam family "Eukaryotic large subunit ribosomal RNA", at positions 63 to 940 of the family's 3401-position model. Lineage: Eukaryota; Fungi; Ascomycota; Sordariomycetes; Hypocreales; Cordycipitaceae. The record is from RNAcentral.